GUCGCCUUCCUCGAGGCGGAGGCAGAAGGCGACCUCGGCUUCCUCGCCAACGCCGAAGUCCAUGACCACAGCGCCUUCCUCCGCCUCGUGCCGGAGCUCGACGUGAGGGAACUCCCCGCGCCGUUGUUCGCCGUGCAGGUGACGUGGUUCUGUGGGCCCCAGGGGGUGGAUAGCGUGGCAGUGGGGAUGCGGACCUGCCGCCGCCGACGAUAGAACGGGCGGUUAUCGGACGCCCGAGGAGCCAGGGGAUUCUUGCAUCAGGCGGCGCCCUACGACGGAGGGGGUCAAUGUCGAUGUGGAUGAAGCCUGGGUUGGACGCGUUCGCUGCAGUGCCGAAGGAGGCUGGUGGGUCAAUUCUGAAGCUUUUGGAGUCUGCCGAGAGUGGAGUGGAGAACAACAGGGAAGUGUGCAGCUAAUUGAUAAUAGAAGAUUGGAGAGCUUUCCGUUGUUGUGCAUAAGACAACGAUCUUGGAGUCUUCUUACAAGCAGCUACUGAGAUCGGUCUGGGUUCAUAUUUAGAGAUGAUUGAGUUUCCAGUAUCAUUGGGAUUCAACCCACGCACGGUCUUCGAAUGAGUGGUGCGUCCGAAGAACCCCUCUGCGCUGUGGGGAAAGAGAUGGAUUCCUCGAGUCACCCCCAACACGCUGCUGCCCGCCAACCAUUCGACUACAGGCAUGCAAACUACAUAUCGAGAAAUCUCUAUUUAUUAUUUCUGAUCGCAUAUCAAAAUAUCAAGAACGGUUCAUUUAAU
Long non-coding RNA from Musa acuminata AAA Group (dessert banana), 751 nucleotides. RefSeq lists it as uncharacterized. NCBI's taxonomy places the organism in Eukaryota, Viridiplantae, Streptophyta, Magnoliopsida, Zingiberales, Musaceae. The record is from RefSeq and is a predicted model, not a curated record. The transcript has 3 exons.